CAGAAACUUGUUUAGGAUCCUCUUUGAAUGGUCUGAAAGAAGAUACAGAAGCCGGUGAAAGCAGCAGACACCUGAGUGACAUCAUCUAUUGCAUGGAGACAACAGGAGACAGAGUUUUUUGAAAACACUUGGUGUGAAAGGAAACACCAUACUGCAGAGUACUGCAGAAGUGGAUGAAACUGUUGAUGUCUCCUACCUGGAAAAGCUCCAAGCAAGAGAGACUUUGAAACUUUCCCAAGGAGUCACAUUCUGGAUUUGUGUUGCUUUAUUUUGAAGUCUAAGACAUACAGGUGGCUGUGCUGUGGCAUGUUGGAGCUCAAUAUGGCUGCUCGUCCCCUGGUUGACAAUGGCCAGUAGCGGUGAUGGUAGAAGUUAAGAAGCCUACAGCAAUACAGCCACUGGUGUCUCUGAAAUUGAAAAAGUCUGAUUGGAAUGCAAGAAAUGACAUUAUUAAAUACGAG
This 461-nucleotide long non-coding RNA is filed under the name Gallus gallus (chicken). Its description in RNAcentral is "lncRNA (ENSGALG00010009229.1)". The record is from RNAcentral. Lineage: Eukaryota; Metazoa; Chordata; Aves; Galliformes; Phasianidae.